RNAcentral lists this long non-coding RNA (226 nucleotides) under Elaeis guineensis (African oil palm). RNAcentral describes it as "long non-coding RNA (EGUI_LNC050813)". Lineage: Eukaryota; Viridiplantae; Streptophyta; Magnoliopsida; Arecales; Arecaceae. The record is from RNAcentral.
UCAUUGCUCAUAGAGGUCAGUAUGAUGCACUUGACAGUCAAACUGUCAUUCUUCCACAUUUUGUAUAUAGAUACCUCCUCUUCUGUGGUAUCAUCCCUAACCUCUUGUGGUUCCAGGAUGUCAAGAAUAUAGGAGUGCUUCUCUUGAGUGAGUACGAUCUUUAAAUUCCUCAACCAGUCCACAUAAUUGAGAUCGGUCAACUUGUUGAAAUCUAAAAUUUCUCGCC